GAAUGGUCUGUUUUGGAGCUAGAAUAGCUUCAGCCCCAAAAUGCAGCUAUUCUGGUUCUUGGAGCGAGAAUAGCUUCAGCCCCAAAAUGCAGCUAUUCUGGUUCUAAAAUGACAGUACGAUGUGCAUAACAUAAUAGCUGGGGAAAACAGGAUUCCCAGUGCUCAGUCCUGGGGAUGGAUCACGGUAGACUGAAGGUUGAGAGGAACAGUUGGCGAUAAUGGAAUGAUUUGUUUAGCAUGCUGUUGAGAGGUGGACUUUUGCGGGAGAGUGUAGGGCGUGGAUUUGAGUGAUACUGGUAAUAAAAAAGGCAGAGGGGUGAAAAAACAUUUCAUUUGUAAGCCUUCCGGAGGAGCAUGUUGGUGGGUGGAUUUGUCGUGUGAUUGAAAACAUGAAUACCAGUCAGGUCACAUCAUUUGGUUCGAUGUCUUCUAAAGAAUAACGUGAACCAAAAGAGAGUAGAGUAUAUAGACAAUAUGAACAAACUCCUUGCCCACACAAAACUGCCACAAGCAUUUCAAUUGAAUACCAAUCUUGAUUCUUUGCGUACCUCUAAAUGUUCUUCUUUUUCAGAUAAUCACGGACAUCCAUCUCACAGACAAGGAUCUUCACAGCCUACGGGAGAAAAUUAGAAAAUGAUGCCUCAACAACAUGUAAAGCCCGAGGCAAGAGACCACUUCUUCACAAGAGCAGAUAACAAAAUGGCAAAUGGACAACGUCAAAUGAAAAAGCAUACCCUCUUGCAGCCUGAAUACACAAAGAAACCAAACUAAAUAAAGGUAUCAAUAUGUCUUCCUGCCUAUGUAAUGUGCAUAUUAAAUUGUGAUGGUAGGAGGGUUGUGCAGUUUUAUUGCAGUAUGGUAGUGGGCAGAGUUUGUGUCAACAAGAUUGUCAAGCAACGAGCAAUGACAUUUGUUGCAACAAAUUUCAUAAGGAGGUAAGUGAACAUUAUUUGCCUUAAGUGUGCUAAUAACCUGCAAAUUAAAUGCAGUUGUAAUGCAUUGUAUGAAGUGCUCAAAGAGUUGGAUGGUUAUGUAAUACAAAAAUCUUAGAGUAAUAAAGAUUUCAAAGUUUGUUUGGACGUUGCAUUUGAUCAACAUUUGCAAAUGUAUUUUUGUGCAUUCAUUAUUGAGCUCUUGCACAAAGGUAGAUUGUGCAUUCAUUAUUGAGCUCUUGCACAAAGGUAGAUUGUGUAUUACGUAUUAAAUGUGUAUUUCUUGGAUCACCCCUUACAAUGUUUUUGAAAAAAGUUAGCAGCAUGUCUUCUUUUGAAAAUAUUUGUUGUAAAAUUGCACAUAUUUCUAUUUUGUUUGGAAUAACAAUAGGUACAAAAAUAAUUGUUACUGCAUAGUAGAGGUAUGUUAACUAAAAAUGAUUACGAAAAUAAUAUGAAAAUGGUUAGAAAUGUACAGUGGUCAUGUCUUCUUGUAGAUUGAUAUCUUUGACAUGCACUUCAAGUUGAGUUUUGUUGAAAUAGUAUCUUGUGUCAAUCACUUUAAAGGAGCCAACUGAGUAACUGCAGUCUACUUUUAUCAGUUGAGAUAUAGUCAAGUUCAAAGUUAACUUGUGUUGGUUGCAAAUAGGUGGCACACUUUCAAUGAUACUUUUUGUAGUCAAGACAAUGUAACAAUCUAUCUUUCCUUGUUCAGUGUUGUGUUUUGUUCUUGAUUGAGAAAUUGGUUAUGUGAAUGCUAGAGCCAAUGGUGAUAUAGGACACGGAAAUGUCUAUUAAAUUGUUGUCAUUUGUCCAUUGGAGCCCACGAUGUCUACAUGCAUAAUUUCUAUUUGUUUUUUGUAAAUUGGUGUAUUUGUUGAAUGUAAGUCCAUAGAUGACAAGUAUAUCACCUUGAAACCCUCAAAUAUAGAUCCAAUUCUUCAAGGUGCUAUUCUUGUCAUCUAUGGACCUACAUCCAACAGAUACAGUAAUGUACAAAAUAUACAAAAAUUAUCCAUGGGGAACUUGUAGAUUCCAAAGGAUAAAUGACCAUAACCAUGAAUAUUAGCAACAACUUAAUAAACACUUUCCUGCCUAGUAUCACCAUUGGGUCCAACAUUCGGAUAACCAAUUUUUCAAUAAAAAACAAAACACAAUACAAAAAGAAGGACACAAAUUGUUGCAUUGUUUUAAUUGCAAAAAGUAUCAUUGAAAGUGUGCCAUGUGUUUGCAACCAACACAAGUUAACUCCCAACUUGACCAUUUCUUAACUAAUAGAAGUUGAUUGCAAUUACUCAAUUGGCUCCUUCGGAACAAUGACAAAUUACUGUGUUAACAAAACUUAACUUAAAGUGCAUGCCAAAAAUGACGAUCUGCAAAAAGACAUAGUUAUUGUACAUUUUCAAUCUUUUGCAUAUGAUUUUCAUAUUCAUAUUUAGUUAACAUACUACUAUGCACUAACAACUAUUUUUGCAGGUUGCUAUCUCGAAUAACAACACAAAAUUGUAUGCAAUUUUAUAACAAAUGCUUUCGAAAGUAAACAUGUUAGUGAUUCUUUUAAAAAACGUUGUAAGGAGUGGUCCAAGAGGUAGCCAUUUCAUAUGUAAUAAACAAUCUACCUUGGUACAAGACCUCAAAGGUGAAUGUACAAAGACACAUUUGCAAACGUUAGCCAAAUGCAAUGUCCAGGCAAGCUUUUAAAUCUUUAUUAUUUUAACUUAAGAUUUUCCUAUUGCAUAUUACAUCCAAAUCUUUGACCACUUCAUACGAUCCAUUACAAUUGCAUUUAAUUUGCAGGUUAUUGGCACACUUAAUGCAAAGAAUGUUCACUCACCUCAUGAGAUUUGUUGUAGUAAAUGUCACCAUUCGUUUGACAAUCUUGUUGACCCAAACACUACCCACUACUUGUAUUGCAAUAGAGCUAUACAACCAUCUUAUCAUUAUAAUGUAAUAUGCACACUACAUAGAUAAGAAAACAAUAUUGAUUUUUUGCCUACAAAAAGAACUUCUUGCCCAAAAUUUUCUAAAAAUUGUAGAGAUUUCAUAGGAAGAAUACAAGCAAGACAUUUCACUAUAGUAUUCAUGUGUAAAUUCUAGAUUUAUAGCUUAUUCACACUGGUUGUGAACAACACUUUUGUUCAAAUUGUUAAACACUAAGUAUACAUAAUUGUGAAUAACUUUGU
This is a long non-coding RNA of Cryptomeria japonica (Japanese cedar), 3115 nucleotides long. RefSeq lists it as uncharacterized. NCBI's taxonomy places the organism in Eukaryota, Viridiplantae, Streptophyta, Pinopsida, Cupressales, Cupressaceae. The record is from RefSeq and is a predicted model, not a curated record. The transcript is spliced from 5 exons.